GACGAACGCUGGCGGCGUGCUUAACACAUGCAAGUCGAACGGAAAGGCCCUGCUUUUGUGGGGUGCUCGAGUGGCGAACGGGUGAGUAACACGUGAGUAACCUGCCCUUGACUUUGGGAUAACUUCAGGAAACUGGGGCUAAUACCGGAUAGGAGCUCCUGCUGCAUGGUGGGGGUUGGAAAGUUUCGGCGGUUGGGGAUGGACUCGCGGCUUGUCAGCUUGUUGGUGGGGUAGUGGCUUACCAAGGCUUUGACGGGUAGCCGGCCUGAGAGGGUGACCGGCCACAUUGGGACUGAGAUACGGCCCAGACUCCUACGGGAGGCAGCAGGGGGGAAUAUUGCACAGUGGGCGGAAGCCUGAUGCAGCAACGCCGCGUGCGGGAUGACGGCCUUCGGGUUGUAAACCGCUUUCGCCUGUGACGAAGCGUAAGUGACGGUAAUGGGUAAAGAAGCACCGGCUAACUACGUG
RNAcentral lists this ribosomal RNA (468 nucleotides) under uncultured bacterium. RNAcentral describes it as "partial 16S ribosomal RNA". It matches the Rfam family "Bacterial small subunit ribosomal RNA", at positions 28 to 507 of the family's 1533-position model. The record is from RNAcentral.